Molecule: ribosomal RNA, 404 nt
Filed under: uncultured bacterium
Lineage: Bacteria
Description: bacterial SSU rRNA
Rfam family: Bacterial small subunit ribosomal RNA
Source: RNAcentral
GGCGAACGGGUGAGUAACACGUGGGUGACCUGCCCCCUACUCUGGGAUAAGCCUGGGAAACUGGGUCUAAUACCGGAUAUGACUACAUGUCGCAUGGUGUGUGGUGGAAAGUUUUUUCGGUGGGGGAUGGGCCCGCGGCCUAUCAGCUUGUUGGUGGGGUGAUGACCUACCAAGGCGACGACGGGUAGCCGGCCUGAGAGGGCGACCGGCACACUGGGACUGAGACACGGCCCAGACUCACAUACGGGAGGCAGCAGUGGGGAAUAUUGCGCAAUGGGCGGAAGCCUGACGCAGCGACGCCGCGUGGGGGAUGACGGCCUUCGGGUUGUAAACCUCUUUCGGCCCGACGAAGCGUGAGUGACGGUAGGGGUAGAAGAAGCACCGGGCAAUUACGUGCCAGCCGC